This 121-nucleotide ribosomal RNA is filed under the name Candidatus Ryanbacteria bacterium RIFCSPLOWO2_01_FULL_48_26. RNAcentral's name for it is "partial 16S ribosomal RNA". It matches the Rfam family "Bacterial small subunit ribosomal RNA", at positions 661 to 781 of the family's 1533-position model. The record is from RNAcentral. Lineage: Bacteria; Candidatus Ryaniibacteriota.
AUGGAACUCACGGUGUAGGGGUGAAAUCCGUUGAUAUCGUGGGGAACACCAAAGGCGAAGGCAGUGCACUGGGACCUUCCUGACUCUGAGAUGCGAAAGCGUGGGGAGCAAAAAGGAUUAG